This 371-nucleotide ribosomal RNA is filed under the name uncultured organism. RNAcentral's name for it is "bacterial SSU rRNA". It matches the Rfam family "Bacterial small subunit ribosomal RNA", at positions 526 to 896 of the family's 1533-position model. The record is from RNAcentral.
CGGAGGGUGCAAGCGUUAAUCGGAAUUACUGGGCGUAAAGCGUGCGUAGGCGGUUCGUUAAGUCAGCUGUGAAAGCCCCGGGCUCAACCUGGGAACUGCGGUUGAAACUGGCGAACUAGAAUCUGGCAGAGGGGGGUGGAAUUCCACGUGUAGCAGUGAAAUGCGUAGAGAUGUGGAGGAACACCGAUGGCGAAGGCAGCCCCCUGGGCUGAGAUUGACGCUCAGGCACGAAAGCGUGGGGAGCAAACAGGAUUAGAUACCCUGGUAGUCCACGCCCUAAACGAUGUCAACUAGGUGUUGGAGGAGCAAUCCUUUGGUACCGCAGCUAACGCGUGAAGUUGACCGCCUGGGGGAGUACGGUCGCAAGAUUA